UACAGGGGGGGCAAGCGUUGUUCGGAAUUAUUGGGCGUAAAGGGUGCGUAGGCGGCCUGACAAGUCUGAUGUGAAAUCCCUGGGCUCAACCCAGGGCCUGCAUCGGAAACUGUCGGGCUUGAGUAUGGGAGAGGUGAGUGGAAUUUCCGGUGUAGCGGUGAAAUGCGUAGAUAUCGGAAGGAACACCUGUGGCGAAAGCGGCUCACUGGACCAUUACUGACGCUGAGGCACGAAAGCCAGGGGAGCGAACGGG
RNAcentral lists this ribosomal RNA (253 nucleotides) under uncultured bacterium. RNAcentral describes it as "partial 16S ribosomal RNA". It matches the Rfam family "Bacterial small subunit ribosomal RNA", at positions 524 to 776 of the family's 1533-position model. The record is from RNAcentral.